UACGUAGGGUGCGAGCGUUAAUCGGAUUUACUGGGCGUAAAGCGUGCGCAGGCGGCUCGUUAAGACAGGUGUGAAAUCCCUGGGCUCAACCUAGGGAUUGCGCUUGAGACUGGCGGGCUCGAGUACGGUAGAGGGGGGUGGAAUUCCUGGUGUAGCAGUGAAAUGCGUAGAGAUCAGGAGGAACACCGAUGGCGAAGGCAGCCCCCUGGGACUGUACUGACGCUCAUGCACGAAAGCGUGGGGAGCAAACAGG
Molecule: ribosomal RNA, 253 nt
Filed under: uncultured microorganism
Description: partial 16S ribosomal RNA
Rfam family: Bacterial small subunit ribosomal RNA
Source: RNAcentral